GCCUGGAUGGCUCAGUCGGUUGAGCGUUCGACUUCGGCUCAGGUCACGAUCUCGCAGUUUGUGGGUUCGAGCCCCACAUUGGGCU
This 85-nucleotide transfer RNA is filed under the name Felis catus (domestic cat). It matches the Rfam family "tRNA". Rfam says of the family: Transfer RNA (tRNA) molecules are approximately 80 nucleotides in length. Their secondary structure includes four short double-helical elements and three loops (D, anti-codon, and T loops). The record is from Rfam by way of RNAcentral. Lineage: Eukaryota; Metazoa; Chordata; Mammalia; Carnivora; Felidae.